This is a non-coding RNA of Skermanella aerolata KACC 11604, 74 nucleotides long. Lineage: Bacteria; Pseudomonadati; Pseudomonadota; Alphaproteobacteria; Rhodospirillales; Azospirillaceae. The record is from Rfam.
GGGCGUGUAGCUCAACUGGUUAGAGCUGGCCGCUCAUAACGGUCUGGUUAUCGGUUCAAGUCCGGUCACGCCCA